CCCUUAGAUGUUCUGGGCCGCACGCGCGCUACACUGAUUCAUGCAACAAGUUUUGUCCUUGGCUGAUAGGCCUGGGUAAUCUUUGAACGUGAAUCGUGAUGGGGAUAGAUGAUUGCAAUUAUUCAUCUUCAACGAGGAAUUCCUAGUAAACGCAAGUCAUCAGCUUGCAUUGAUUACGUCCCUGCCCUUUGUACACACCGCCCGUCGCUACUACCGAUUGAACGUUUUAGUGAGGUACUCGGACUGAGCCUCAGAAGAUUCACGUCUUUUGUGCUGCUCGGGAAGAUUCCCAAACUUGAGCGUUUAGAGGAAGUAAAAGUCGUAACA
RNAcentral lists this ribosomal RNA (327 nucleotides) under uncultured eukaryote. Its description in RNAcentral is "partial 18S ribosomal RNA". It matches the Rfam family "Eukaryotic small subunit ribosomal RNA", at positions 1470 to 1796 of the family's 1831-position model. The record is from RNAcentral.